CUUAGAAGAGUAGUUCUCUAUCCACAGAAUAGAUACAGCAUGGGCAGCAGCAUUGCGAGCUUCCCCAGGUUGCUAAUGUGCAUCAGUCCUGAGCUGGGGCGGGGCCAUCUCUUUUGUGUGAGAAGACAGUUCAUUAUCUCUGCAUCCUUGACCUUG
RNAcentral lists this small RNA (156 nucleotides) under Chrysemys picta bellii (western painted turtle). Its description in RNAcentral is "TUC338 (ENSCPBG00000016453.1)". The record is from RNAcentral. Lineage: Eukaryota; Metazoa; Chordata; Testudines; Emydidae.